Molecule: small RNA, 1781 nt
Filed under: Pan troglodytes (chimpanzee)
Lineage: Eukaryota; Metazoa; Chordata; Mammalia; Primates; Hominidae
Description: retained intron
Source: RNAcentral
GUUUCCCUGUUGCCCUGUGCCAGCACUGGGGUAGUGCCCCUGGGCUCCACCCCCAAAACCUUCCCAGGGCUCUGUCCCGGCAGUUCAGAGGGGCCAGGAUGGUGGACAUAAUCGCCAAAGUGACCAGGAGGCAGAGUCGAGCCUUGCCGGCACAGGUGGACGACCCACCGGAGCCCGUGUACGCGAACAUAGAGAGGCAGCCCCGGGCCACUUCACCGGGCGCCGCUGCAGCCCCUCUUCCCAGCCCGGUGUGGGAGACGCACACGGACGCGGGCACCGGGCGCCCCUACUACUACAACCCAGACACGGGAGUUACCACCUGGGAGUCGCCCUUUGAGGCUGCCGAGGGUGCCGCCAGCCCAGCCACCUCCCCUGCCUCGGUGGACAGCCACGUGAGCCUUGAGACCGAGUGGGGCCAGUACUGGGAUGAGGAGAGCCGCAGGGUGUUCUUCUACAACCCGCUGACGGGCGAGACGGCCUGGGAGGACGAGGCCGAGAACGAGCCCGAGGAGGAGUUGGAGAUGCAGCCGGGCCUGAGCCCUGGCAGCCCAGGGGACCCGCGGCCCCCCACUCCCGAGACGGACUACCCCGAGUCGCUGACCAGUUACCCCGAGGAGGACUAUUCUCCCGUGGGCUCUUUCGGUGAGCCCGGCCCUACCUCUCCCUUGACCACACCCCCCGGCUGGUCUUGUCAUGUCAGCCAGGACAAGCAGAUGCUCUACACCAACCACUUCACCCAGGAGCAGUGGGUGAGGCUGGAGGACCCCCACGGGAAGCCAUACUUCUACAAUCCAGAGGACUCCUCUGUUCGAUGGGAGCUGCCCCAGGUAACAACCUGGGGAAAGAGGGGUGUUGGGGAGAGAGGAAGAGAUCACAUACGACUGUGUCUUUCUCCCCAGGUCCCUAUCCCUGCCCCUCGGAGCAUCCAUAAAUCCAGCCAGGAUGGUGACACCCCAGCCCAGGCCAGCCCUCCAGAGGAGAAGACCAAGACCUUGGACAAGGCAGGGGUGCUCCAUCGCACCAAGACGGCAGACAAGGGAAAGCGGCUCCGGAAGAAGCACUGGAGUGCCUCCUGGACUGUGCUGGAGGGUGGCGUCCUGACAUUCUUCAAGGACUCAAAGACCUCGGCUGCAGGCGGCCUGAGGCAGCCUUCCAAGUUUUCCACCCCUGAGUACACAGUGGAGCUGAGGGGGGCCACUCUCUCCUGGGCCCCCAAAGACAAAUCCAGUAGGAAGAAUGUGCUGGAGCUACGGAGCCGAGAUGGCUCCGAGUACCUGAUCCAGCACGACUCGGAGGCCAUCAUCAGCACCUGGCAUAAGGCCAUUGCUCAGGGCAUCCAGGAGCUGGUAAGCAGAGCCCAGGGCCUCUAGGGGCAGUGGGGAGGGGGUGGCCAUUAUGAGUGGGGCCCUCUGCUCAGGCUCAGGGAGCUCUAAGGUACCAGUGGGUAAUGCAAAUGCAGUCCCCACUAAUGGCUAGGAUGGCAGGGUAGGCGGCUGAAGAAACUGCCUUCUGUAAGUCUGUGAAUCCAGCCCUGGGGUUGGCCCUGCAGGAAGACUCUCCAGGUGAGGGUAGGGCACAUUCUAAAGGAAGUUCCCAUUUCACGGGAGGCAGAAGGCCAAAUAAAUACUCUGCAAGCCAACCAAUGGCAGGCUGAAACUAGCAGAUAAAAUUUUAAAGGAUUGAUUUCAAUAGUCGACUAUUUUUUUAAGGCUCAAAACACCAAUUGCAUAAGUAGAGCUAGGACAGGGGCCCUCUGACAACUACUGACCUGGAAAUGACCU